RNAcentral lists this ribosomal RNA (597 nucleotides) under Malassezia pachydermatis. Its description in RNAcentral is "partial large subunit ribosomal RNA". It matches the Rfam family "Eukaryotic large subunit ribosomal RNA", at positions 62 to 648 of the family's 3401-position model. The record is from RNAcentral. Lineage: Eukaryota; Fungi; Basidiomycota; Malasseziomycetes; Malasseziales; Malasseziaceae.
AAACUAACAAGGAUUCCCCUAGUAACGGCGAGCGAAGCGGGAAGAGCUCAAAUUUGAAAGCUGGCACCUUCGGUGUCCGCGUUGUAAUCUCGAGACGUGUUUUCCGUGUGGCGCUAUGGACAAGUCCCUUGGAACAGGGCAUCGUAGAGGGUGAAAAUCCCGUACUUGCCAUGGCUGUACCAUGCUUUGUGAUACACGCUCUAAGAGUCGAGUUGUUUGGGAUUGCAGCUCAAAAUGGGUGGUAGACUCCAUCUAAAGCUAAAUAUCGGGGAGAGACCGAUAGCGAACAAGUACCGUGAGGGAAAGAUGAAAAGCACUUUGGAAAGAGAGUUAAAAGUACGUGAAAUUGUCGAAAGGGAAGCGCUUGAAGUCAGCCAUGCUGCUUGAGACUCAGCCUUGCUUUUGCUUGGUGUAUUUCUCGGUAGCAAGCCAGCAUUGGUUCGAGUCGUCGGAGAAGGGUAUGAGAAAUGUGGCAUCCUCGGAUGUGUUAUAGACUUGUACUGGAUACGACGAUUUGGAUCAAGGAACGCAGUGUGCCUCUGGCGGGUCUUCGGACACCUUCACACUUAGGAUGCUGGCGUAAUGGCUUUAAACGGC